AUGGGAGUAUUUAAAGUAAUGUAUUGGUCUGUUUCUCCAGAUGGAAUUUGCUACAGGGAGCGAAGAAGAAUUAGGUCACAAAUGUGGGCUAUCUGUGGGCAAUUGUAUCUGAAUACUCUGGCCCUGCAAGCUGCUCAGAAUGAAAAAGCACAGGUUGAUGCCAGCUUUGAGAAAGGAGCCAUUGUGGACUUCUAAAUGUGUGGGGCCUGACCCUGCAGUGCUUCGGCAUCUCAAACUCCUUCACAGAAACACAAGAUGAACAUUUCCUAUUGAGACCUGUGUAUGACUUGGAUGACUAGAGAAAAAUCACUGUGGAACUAGUUGGAUAAUACCAGAAAACACCUGAGGUUCUUUUAAUAGGAAGGGCAAGCUAUAUUAAUAAUCAGCAUCUUUAAAUAGAUUAAAUACUACAUAAAAGAACAGGUAUUCCUCCUUUCUUUUAGCUGCUUUCCCCCUUCCAAGGAUGCAAAAACCCAGUUGUUUGCUUUACCAAUGUAUUCUGUGGUCUGACACAAGUAAUUUGUUUGUACAGGCCUUAUCUCAGUCUGUAAACCAUUACUCCUGUAGAAACAUAAGUAGCUUCUCCCAGCAGGGCUAAGAAUGGGUUCUUCUUCAAGGAACUAAAGAGUAUCUUAAAUCUGCUUGAUAUAUGAAAACCUCCCCUACAAAAUACAACAAGAACACAAAUUGGGAGGACACUGGUAACAAAGACACAAGAGUCUGUUGAAAAGACACAAGAAGCUGGCUAAGUUAGAUAACAGUUUGGUACAAACAGCUUUUAGCUAAAACAGACUUUAUCAUUUCAGUGGAAAUUUAUGCAAGUGGCUUGAAUUGUUUGAGCUUUUUCCCCUUGUGUAGAGUAAAAUAAUUUUGGCUUAUAGAAAAAUAUAAUAGAAUUAGAAAUCUUAGUGAGAAGUUUGGUAACUUAAUCCCAAAUGCAGUGGAAGAUCAUAGAAGCAAUAGAAUGGUUUGGAUUGGAAGGGACCUUUCAAGGUCACCUAGUCUAACCCCUCUGCCAUGAACAAGGACAUCUUCAACUAGAUUAGGUGACUCAGUGCACCCAGUUGCUUACUUUAAUUAAGAGUUUCUGAAAUAUAAAAAUGCAUCACACACUAACCAGCAGUAACCUUCUGUACACUAGUGGGCUUUUCGUAUUUAUGGUUUUACUUGCAACGGCUGCAUCUUUUGGUCCUGUCCUGUGGAAAGCUCUGAAAUGAAAGUUGUCUGUGCUCCCAUAGAAACUGUG
Molecule: long non-coding RNA, 1246 nt
Filed under: Cyanistes caeruleus (blue tit)
Lineage: Eukaryota; Metazoa; Chordata; Aves; Passeriformes; Paridae
Description: lncRNA (ENSCCEG00000011444.1)
Source: RNAcentral